Molecule: ribosomal RNA, 460 nt
Filed under: uncultured bacterium
Lineage: Bacteria
Description: partial 16S ribosomal RNA
Rfam family: Bacterial small subunit ribosomal RNA
Source: RNAcentral
CCUACGGGAGGCUGCAGUGAGGAAUAUUGGUCAAUGGACGAGAGACUGAACCAGCCAAGCAGCGUGAAGGAUGAAUGCCCUGUGGGUUGUAAACUUCUUUUAUAUGGGAAUAAAAUGUUCCACGUGUGGGAUGUUGUAUGUACCAUAUGAAUAAGGAUCGGCUAACUCCGUGCCAGCAGCCGCGGUAAUACGGAGGAUCCGAGCGUUAUCCGGAUUUAUUGGGUUUAAAGGGGGCGUAGGUGGAUUGUUAAGUCAGUUGUGAAAGUUUGCGGCUCAACCGUAAAAUUGCAGUUGAAACUGGCAGUCUUGAGUACAGUAGAGGUGGGCGGAAUGCGUGGUGUAGCGGUGAAAUGCUUAGAUAGCACGAAGAACUCCGAUUGCGAAGGCAGUUCACUGGACUGCAACUGACACUGAGGCUCGAAAGUGUGGGUAUCAAACAGGAUUAGAUACCCCUGUAGUC